Molecule: ribosomal RNA, 253 nt
Filed under: uncultured bacterium
Lineage: Bacteria
Description: partial 16S ribosomal RNA
Rfam family: Bacterial small subunit ribosomal RNA
Source: RNAcentral
UACGUAGGGGGCGAGCGUUGUCCGGAUUUAUUGGGCGUAAAGAGCGUGUAGGCGGCCAGGUAGGUCUGCUGUGAAAACUCGAGGCUCAACCUCGAGACGUCGGCGGAAACCAUCUGGCUAGAGUCCGGAAGAGGAGAGUGGAAUUCCUGGUGUAGCGGUGAAAUGCGCAGAUAUCAGGAAGAACACCCGUGGCGAAGGCAGCACUCUGGGACGGUACUGACGCUGAGACGCGAAAGCGUGGGGAGCGAACAGG